AGCAGCCGCGGUAAUUCCAGCUCCAAUAGCGUAUAUUAAAGUUGUUGCAGUUAAAAAGCUCGUAGUUGAAUUUCGGGGUUCUACCGUUGGUCAGGCUAUAGUCUGUACUGGCGUGUGGAAUUUCUACCUUCUGGGGAACUAUCAUGUUAUUAAUUUAGCGUGGUAGGAAACCAGAACCUUUACCUUGAAAAAUUAGAGUGUUCAAAGCAGGCUUACGUCUGAAUACAUUAGCAUGGAAUAAUAAAAUAGGACGGUGGUCCUGUUUUGUUGGUUUCUGAAUCACCGUAAUGAUUAAUAGGGAUAGUUGGGGGCAUUAGUAUUCAAUUGUCAGAGGUGAAAUUCUUGGAUUUUAUUGAAGACUAACUACUGCGAAAGCAUUUGCCAAGGAUGUUUUCAUUAAUCAAGAACGAAAGUUAGGGGAUCGAAGACGAUCAGAUACCGUCGUAGUCUUAACCAUAAACUAUGCCGACUAGGGAUCGGAUGAUGUUAAU
This 491-nucleotide small RNA is filed under the name uncultured Gigaspora. Its description in RNAcentral is "SSU rRNA". It matches the Rfam family "Eukaryotic small subunit ribosomal RNA", at positions 569 to 1067 of the family's 1831-position model. The record is from RNAcentral. Lineage: Eukaryota; Fungi; Glomeromycota; Glomeromycetes; Diversisporales; Gigasporaceae.